UUCAUCCUCUGGCAGCCCACAUAGUUUCUAUGCUGCACAUGGAGGAGGCCAAAGUGCUUUCUUCCAUACCCAGCAUAGAAAUGCAGUGGGCUACCAGAGGAUAGA
This is a non-coding RNA of Podarcis lilfordi (Lilford's wall lizard), 105 nucleotides long. Lineage: Eukaryota; Metazoa; Chordata; Lepidosauria; Squamata; Lacertidae. The record is from the annotation of a GenBank genome assembly.